This 72-nucleotide transfer RNA is filed under the name Coprobacter fastidiosus. RNAcentral describes it as "tRNA-Gln". It matches the Rfam family "tRNA". From Rfam's summary of the family: Transfer RNA (tRNA) molecules are approximately 80 nucleotides in length. Their secondary structure includes four short double-helical elements and three loops (D, anti-codon, and T loops). RNAcentral also lists the same sequence under 1 other name. The record is from RNAcentral. Lineage: Bacteria; Pseudomonadati; Bacteroidota; Bacteroidia; Bacteroidales; Barnesiellaceae.
UGUCCUGUGGUGUAACGGUAGCACAUCGGAUUCUGGUUCCGCUUGUGAGGGUUCGAAUCCUUCCAGGACAAC